UAAUAAGUGUUUUACUGCACUUUUUAAACAAGUACUCACCUUGUGUGCAAUGUUUGCUGUCGAGGCUGUUAUGGCGUCGCGACAGUAUAAUACCAACUUUUUUAUUGUAAAUUUUUUGUCUGAAGCUAUUUCGAAUAUAUAAUUCUAAAUA
RNAcentral lists this unclassified non-coding RNA (151 nucleotides) under uncultured Mortierella. Its description in RNAcentral is "sequence contains ITS1". Lineage: Eukaryota; Fungi; Mortierellomycota; Mortierellomycetes; Mortierellales; Mortierellaceae. The record is from RNAcentral.